UCCCAGACUCCUACGGGAGGCAGCAGUGAGGAAUAUUGGUCAAUGGCCGGAAGGCUGAACCAGCCAAGCCGCGUGAAGGACGAAGGUGCCAAGCAUUGUAAACUUCUUUUGUCAAGGGACAAAAUCAGGCUCGAGAGCCUGACCGAGGGUACUUGAAGAAAAAGCAUCGGCUAACUCCGUGCCAGCAGCCGCGGUAAUACGGAGGAUGCGAGCGUUAUCCGGAUUUAUUGGGUUUAAAGGGUGCGUAGGCGGGCCGUAAAGUAAGUGAUCAAAUGGGGGGCCUCACCCCCUCCCCGCCAUUGAAACUGGCGCUCUUGAGUGGAAGAGAAGUAUGCGGAAUGCGUGGUGUAGCGGUGAAAUGCAUAGAUAUCACGCAGAACCCCGAUUGCGAAGGCAGCAUGCCGGCUUCCGACUGACGCUGAAGCACGAAAGCGUGGGGAUCGAACAGGAUUAGAUACCCCGGUAG
RNAcentral lists this ribosomal RNA (466 nucleotides) under uncultured bacterium. RNAcentral describes it as "partial 16S ribosomal RNA". It matches the Rfam family "Bacterial small subunit ribosomal RNA", at positions 329 to 793 of the family's 1533-position model. The record is from RNAcentral.